This 506-nucleotide ribosomal RNA is filed under the name uncultured bacterium. Its description in RNAcentral is "partial 16S rRNA". The record is from RNAcentral.
GCACGGAGUUAGCCGGAGCUUCCUUUGGAGGUACCGUCAACCCUCGGGGUGUUGAUCCGAGGGGAUUCUUCCCUCCUGACAGCGGUUUACGACCCGAAAGCCUUCAUCCCGCACGCGGCGUCGCUCGGUCAGGGUUUCCCCCAUUGCCGAAGCCUCUCGACUGCUGCCUCCCGUAGGAGUCUGGGCCGUAUCUCAGUCCCAGUGUGGCCGGUCAUCCUCUCAGAUCGGCUACCCAUCGUCGCCUUGGUGGGCCAUUACCCCGCCAACAAGCUAAUGGGACGCGGGCUCCUCCUCGAGCGGCAGGCCCCGAAGGGUCCCCACCUUUGCCCGUCUCGCCAUGCGACAAAACGGACACAUGCGGAAUUAGCCACUCGUUGGAAUGGUUAUUCCCCACUCAAGGGUAGAUUGCCCACGCGUUACUCACCCGUUCGCCACUCUACCGGUCGGACCGAAGCCCGACUUUCGCGUUCGACUUGCAUGCCUAAUCCACGCCGCCAACGUUCGUU